RNAcentral lists this ribosomal RNA (265 nucleotides) under uncultured bacterium. RNAcentral's name for it is "partial 16S ribosomal RNA". It matches the Rfam family "Bacterial small subunit ribosomal RNA", at positions 524 to 777 of the family's 1533-position model. The record is from RNAcentral.
UACGUAGGGUGCAAGCGUUAAUCGGAAUUACUGGGCGUAAAGCGUGCGCAGGCGGGCUUUGCAAGACAGAUGUGAAAAUCCCCCGGGGCUCAACCCUGGGGACUUGCAGUUGAAAACUGGAAAAGCUAGAGUAGGGUAGAGGGGUGUGGAAUUCCAGGGUGUAGCGGUGAAAUGCGUAGAUAUCUGGAGGAACAUCAGUGGCGAAGGCGGACACCCUGGACUCAUACUCGACACUGAGGUGCGAAAGCGUGGGGAGCAAACAGGA